GGUUCGGUAGCUCAACUGGAUAGAGCAUCAGAUUUCUAAUCUGACGGUUAAGGGUUCGAGUCCCUUCCGAAUCA
Molecule: transfer RNA, 74 nt
Filed under: Candidatus Cacconaster merdequi
Lineage: Bacteria; Pseudomonadati; Bacteroidota; Bacteroidia; Bacteroidales
Description: tRNA-Arg
Rfam family: tRNA
About the family: Transfer RNA (tRNA) molecules are approximately 80 nucleotides in length. Their secondary structure includes four short double-helical elements and three loops (D, anti-codon, and T loops). Further hydrogen bonds mediate the characteristic L-shaped molecular structure. tRNAs have two regions of fundamental functional importance: the anti-codon, which is responsible for specific mRNA codon recognition, and the 3' end, to which the tRNAs corresponding amino acid is attached (by aminoacyl-tRNA synthetases). tRNAs cope with the degeneracy of the genetic code in two manners: having more than one tRNA (with a specific anti-codon) for a particular amino acid; and 'wobble' base-pairing, i.e. permitting non-standard base-pairing at the 3rd anti-codon position.
Source: RNAcentral